AGAGUUUGAUCCUGGCUCAGGACGAACGCUGGCGGCGUGCUUAACACAUGCAAGUCGAGCGGAAAAGCCCUUCGGGGUACUCGAGCGGCGAACGGGUGAGUAACACGUGAGGGACCUGCCCUUAACUCUGGGAUAGCUUCGGGAAACCGGAAUUAAUACCGGAUAUGACUGCAACCGGCAUCGGUUGUGGUGGAAAGAUUUAUCGGUUAGGGAUGGACUCGCGGCCUAUCAGCUUGUUGGUGAGGUAACGGCUCACCAAGGCGACGACGGGUAGCCGGCCUGAGAGGGCGACCGGCCACACUGGGACUGAGACACGGCCCAGACUCCUACGGGAGGCAGCAGUGGGGAAUAUUGCGCAAUGGGCGAAAGCCUGACGCAGCAACGCCGCGUGGGGGAUGAAUGUCUUCGGAUUGUAAACCCCUUUCAGCAGGGACGAAGCGAGAGUGACGGUACCUGCAGAAGAAGCGCCGGCUAACUACGUGCCAGCAGCCGCGGUAAUACGUAGGGCGCAAGCGUUGUCCGGAAUUAUUGGGCGUAAAGAGCUCGUAGGUGGUUUGCUACGUCCGCUGUGAAAACCUAGGGCUUAACCCUGGGCCUGCAGUGGAUACGGGCAGACUAGAGGUAGGUAGGGGAGAAUGGAAUUCCCGGUGUAGCGGUGAAAUGCGCAGAUAUCGGGAGGAACACCGGUGGCGAAAGCGGUUCUCUGGGCCUUACCUGACACUGAGGAGCGAAAGCGUGGGGAGCGAACAGGAUUAGAUACCCUGGUAGUCCACGCCGUAACGUUGGGCGCUAGGUGUGGGGUCCUUCCACGGACUCCGUGCCGCAGCUAACGCAUUAAGCGCCCGCCUGGGGAGUACGGCGCA
RNAcentral lists this ribosomal RNA (863 nucleotides) under uncultured bacterium. Its description in RNAcentral is "bacterial SSU rRNA". It matches the Rfam family "Bacterial small subunit ribosomal RNA", at positions 8 to 890 of the family's 1533-position model. The record is from RNAcentral.